AACACGAUGGCCAAUCAGCACAAUGAGGCUCUUGAGACUUUGAAGAAAAGGGUAAUGGGUUGUUCCUACACCUCACCCACAACGCACAGUUAAUCCUGUCACCUCAGAGAAGUAAUGAACUAAAGAUCAUUUUUUUUCAUACGUUAGUUUCAGGCCCAAAUUCGAGGGAUGGAGGAAGACAAGGGAAAGCAUCAGCUGACUGCCGAGUUGAGAGAAAAGGAGAUGAACAGUUUCAAGGAAGAGCUCAAGUCAUUGCAGUUGCGCAAGUACAGUUUGGAGAAGAAGUUAAGCGAGCUGGUAAGCACUGGACUGA
Clupea harengus (Atlantic herring) is the source of this 313-nucleotide long non-coding RNA. The record is from Ensembl. Lineage: Eukaryota; Metazoa; Chordata; Actinopteri; Clupeiformes; Clupeidae.